GGGAGGAGGGGCCAAAAGCACAACACAGGGGAGGGCGGGGCUAAAAGCACAACAGAACCACAUGGCACAAGAAAAAAAGGGCGGGCAAUACCCAAAGUGUCCAGCAGGGCGGGCAAUACCCAAAGUGUCCAGCAGGGCGGCCAAGAGGCACAUUCCAGACGGAGGACUGACAGCUCUUAAGCCCAAUUUAUGGCUGUCCGUUUACGGAGACAGGGAGCGCCUAUUCGGCCUUUAUCCUGGAACCCAAGUAGGCACGGAUCCGGAGUAGCCCACUGGCAGUCUUCACUUCCUGUUCAGUCCAGACGGAGUAGUCUUCACUUCCUGUUCAGUCCGGACGGAGUAGCCCACUGACAUCACUUCCUUAGCAGUCUUCACUUCCUGUUCCCAUGUGUCUUUGGGUCACAUGUCUGCCCAAGGCUUGCUUGUAAACAACACUGUAGGCUACAUGUCAGUCAGACACACAGCGUCAGGUGCUGUCGGCAUGGAGACAAAAGACACACAGCGCCAGGUGCUGUCGGCAUGGAGACAAAAGACACUAAAUCAGAAUGCCAUUCCCCAAUCUGCUCCUGGCGGUCGGCUGCCCCUCGUGCAAGGCACUUGUGUUUAUGUAUUUGUUUGUGUUUAUGUAUUUAUUUUCCCCUCAGGGCAAGGCACUUGUGAUU
This is a long non-coding RNA of Clupea harengus (Atlantic herring), 662 nucleotides long. NCBI's taxonomy places the organism in Eukaryota, Metazoa, Chordata, Actinopteri, Clupeiformes, Clupeidae. The record is from Ensembl.